AACUAACGCUGGCGGCGUGCCUAACACAUGCAAGUCGUACGAGAAAGUUGGCUUCGGCCGAUGAGUAAAGUGGCGCACGGGUGAGUAAUGCGUGGAUAAUCUGCCCUUUAGUUGGGAAUAACGUACCGAAAGGUGCGCUAAUACCUGAUAAUACUGCAUAACUACUGUUGUGUAGUCAAAGAAGGCCUCUGUUUACAAGCUUUUGCUGAAGGAUGAGUCCGCGUACCAUUAGCUGGUUGGUGGGGUAAUGGCCUACCAAGGCUACGAUGGUUAGCUGGUCCGAGAGGAUGAUCAGCCACACUGGAACUGAGACACGGUCCAGACUCCUACGGGAGGCAGCAGUGAGGAAUAUUGCGCAAUGGGGGCAACCCUGACGCAGCAACGCCGCGUGAGUGAGGAAGGUUUUCGGACCGUAAAGCUCUGUCGAGCGGGAAGAAAUGUAUCAUGGCUAAUAUCCAUGAUACUUGACGGUACCGCUAAAGGAAGCACCGG
RNAcentral lists this ribosomal RNA (492 nucleotides) under uncultured bacterium. RNAcentral describes it as "bacterial SSU rRNA". It matches the Rfam family "Bacterial small subunit ribosomal RNA", at positions 29 to 496 of the family's 1533-position model. The record is from RNAcentral.